Molecule: transfer RNA, 67 nt
Filed under: Zemeros flegyas
Lineage: Eukaryota; Metazoa; Arthropoda; Insecta; Lepidoptera; Riodinidae
Description: tRNA-Met
Source: RNAcentral
UUAAAAAUAAGCUAAAUGAAGCUUUUGGGUUCAUACCCCAAAUAUAAAGAUAAAUCUUUUUUUUAAA